Molecule: ribosomal RNA, 253 nt
Filed under: uncultured bacterium
Lineage: Bacteria
Description: partial 16S ribosomal RNA
Rfam family: Bacterial small subunit ribosomal RNA
Source: RNAcentral
GACAGAGGCCUCGAGCGUUAGGCGGAAUCACUGGGCUUAAAGCGUGUGUAGGCGGGCCCGUAAGUGUCUUGUGAAAUCCCACGGCUCAACCGUGGAACUGCUGGGUAUACUGGCGAUCUUGAGCCACCUAGGGGCGAGCGGAACAAGCGGUGGAGCGGUGAAAUGCGUAGAUAUCGCUUGGAACGCCAAUGGUGAAAACAGCUCGCUGGGGGUGUGCUGACGCUGAGACACGAAAGCCAGGGGAGCGAACGGG